UAGCCACUUAUAUCAAAGUCCUCUCCAGU
RNAcentral lists this non-coding RNA (29 nucleotides) under Mus musculus (house mouse). The record is from RNAcentral. Lineage: Eukaryota; Metazoa; Chordata; Mammalia; Rodentia; Muridae.